RNAcentral lists this ribosomal RNA (948 nucleotides) under uncultured crenarchaeote. Its description in RNAcentral is "bacterial SSU rRNA". It matches the Rfam family "Archaeal small subunit ribosomal RNA", at positions 468 to 1421 of the family's 1478-position model. The record is from RNAcentral. Lineage: Archaea; Thermoproteati; Thermoproteota.
CGGUAAACCAGCACCUCAAGUGUCAGGAUGAUUAUUGGGCCUAAGCAUCCGUAGCCGGCUCUGUAAGUUUUCGGUUAAAUCUGUACGCUCAACGUACAGGCUGCCGGGAAUACUGCAGAGCUAGGGAGUGGGAGAGGUAGACGUACUCGGUAGGAAGGGGUAAAAUCCUUUGAUCUAUUGAUGACCACCUGUGGCGAAGGCGGUCUACCAGAACACGUCCGACGGUGAGGGAUGAAAGCUGGGGGAGCAAACCGGAUUAGAUACCCGGGUAGUCCCAGCUGUAAACUAUGCAAACUCAGUGAUGCAUUGGCUUGUGGCCAAUGCAGUGCUGCAGGGAAGCCGUUAAGUUUGCCGCCUGGGAAGUACGUACGCAAGUAUGAAACUUAAAGGAAUUGGCGGGGGAGCACCACAAGGGGUGAAGCCUGCGGUUCAAUUGGAGUCAACGCCAGAAAUCUUACCCGGAGAGACAGCAGAAUGAAGGUCAAGCUGAAGACUUUACCAGACAAGCUGAGAGGUGGUGCAUGGCCGUCGCCAGCUCGUGCCGUGAGAUGUCCUGUUAAGUCAGGUAACGAGCGAGAUCCCUGCCUCUAGUUGCCACCAUUACUCUCAGGAGUAGUGGGGCGAAUUAGCGGGACCGCCGCAGUUAAUGCGGAGGAAGGAAGGGGCCACGGCAGGUCAGUAUGCCCCGAAACUCUGGGGCCACACGCGGGCUGCAAUGGUAACGACAAUUGGUUUCGAAUCCGAAAGGAUGAGGUAAUCCUCAAACGUUACCACAGUUAUGACUGAGGGCUGCAACUCGCCCUCACGAAUAUGGAAUCCCUAGUAACUGCGUGUCAUUAUCGCGCGGUGAAUACGUCCCUGCUCCUUGCACACACCGCCCGUCGUUUCAUUGAAGUGAGCUUUUAGACGAGGUGACGUCUAAUUGGCGUUAUCGAACUGAGUUCUGAA